Molecule: ribosomal RNA, 256 nt
Filed under: uncultured bacterium
Lineage: Bacteria
Description: partial 16S ribosomal RNA
Rfam family: Bacterial small subunit ribosomal RNA
Source: RNAcentral
UACGUAGGGUGCGAGCGUUGUCCGGAAUUAUUGGGCGUAAAGAGCUUGUAGGCGGUUUGUCGCGUCUGCCGUGAAAAUUCCGAGGCUCAACCUCGGAACUUGCGAGUGGGUACGGGCAGACUAGAGUGUGGUAGGGGAGACUGGAAUUCCUGGUGUAGCGGUGAAAUGCGCAGAUAUCAGGAGGAACACCGAUGGCGAAGGCAGGUCUCUGGGCCAUAACUGACGCUGAGAAGCGAAAGCAUGGGGAGCGAACAGG